Long non-coding RNA from Coffea arabica (coffee), 527 nucleotides. RefSeq lists it as uncharacterized. The record is from RefSeq and is a predicted model, not a curated record. Lineage: Eukaryota; Viridiplantae; Streptophyta; Magnoliopsida; Gentianales; Rubiaceae.
GGAAGUACUGGCACCCUCAUGCUAUCCAUGCUAGCUUUAGGAUCCAUCACACUUUCCUGCAAACUCUGAUAUGUAUGUAUUAAAUGGUAAAAAGGAUUCUCUUAAACAUGUUAAGGGCUGGGGCUGGAAUUCAACUGCAUGAACCAUGGAAAUCAAUGCAUCUGCUCUUGUUGAAUGUGAGCGGGUUAUGAUAUUAAACAACAAUGUUCGAGAUCAUCUCAUGCUGGUCUGAUAGAGUUGCAGAGGAUGGACACUCGCUUGGCACGUAUAGAGGAUCAUUUAAGCAUUACUCCACCUCAGGGUGGAGCUGCAGAUGAAGAUGACGAUUGAAGCUGCACCAUUAGGAUCACUAUAUUAUUUGUGCAUGGAUUUGCUUGCAUUUUGUUCUUAAUCUGUGGAAUGUUGGAUGUUUAACUUGAUUUUACUUUUUCUGUUUUUUAAUUUACUAAAGACUUGUGCUUUUGCAGUGGUUUGUGAUUAUUGGCUGACAAGUUGUUGGAAAUAUUGCUUGGAUUAAAUGUUGUCUA